GGGUUGUGAGGUUAAGCGACUAAGCGUACACGGUGGAUGCCCUAGCAGUCAGAGGCGAUGAAGGACGUGCUAAUCUGCGAUAAGCGCCGGUAAGGUGAUAUGAACCGUUAUAACCGGCGAUUUCCGAAUGGGGAAACCCAGUGUGAUUCGUCACACUAUCAUUAACUGAAUCCAUAGGUUAAUGAGGCGAACCGGGGGAACUGAAACAUCUAAGUACCCCGAGGAAAAGAAAUCAACCGAGAUUCCCCCAGUAGCGGCGAGCGAACGGGGAGGAGCCCAGAGCCUGAAUCAGCAUGUGUGUUAGUGGAAGCGUCUGGAAAGGCGCGCGAUACAGGGUGACAGCCCCGUACACAAAAGCGCAUGUGCUGUGAGCUCGAUGAGUAGGGCGGGACACGUGGUAUCCUGUCUGAAUAUGGGGGGACCAUCCUCCAAGGCUAAAUACUCCUGACUGACCGAUAGUGAACCAGUACCGUGAGGGAAAGGCGAAAAGAACCCCGGCGAGGGGAGUGAAAAAGAACCUGAAACCGUGUACGUACAAGCAGUGGGAGCCCCACCACUAAGCCAGUGGUGAACUCCACAUACGCAUCCUUUGCUGAGGAUACGGUUAACGGAGCGCAAGCGACGUUCAACCGCAAAAGAAGCAGAGGGGGCUUAGUGGUGGGGUGACUGCGUACCUUUUGUAUAAUGGGUCAGCGACUUAUAUUCUGUAGCAAGGUUAACCGUAUAGGGGAGCCGCAGGGAAACCGAGUCUUAACCGGGCGUUAAGUUGCAGGGUAUAGACCCGAAACCCGGUGAUCUAGCCAUGGGCAGGUUGAAGGUUGGGUAACACUAACUGGAGGACCGAACCGACUAAUGUUGAAAAAUUAGCGGAUGACCUGUGGCUGGGGGUGAAAGGCCAAUCAAACCGGGAGAUAGCUGGUUCUCCCCGAAAGCUAUUUAGGUAGCGCCUCGUGAACUCAUCUCCGGGGGUAGAGCACUGUUUCGGCUAGGGGGCCAUCCCGGCUUACCAACCCGAUGCAAACUGCGAAUACCGGAGAAUGUUAUCACGGGAGACACACGGCGGGUGCUAACGUCCGUCGUGAAGAGGGAAACAACCCAGACCGCCAGCUAAGGUCCCAAAGUCAUGGUUAAGUGGGAAACGAUGUGGGAAGGCCCAGACAGCCAGGAUGUUGGCUUAGAAGCAGCCAUCAUUUAAAGAAAGCGUAAUAGCUCACUGGUCGAGUCGGCCUGCGCGGAAGAUGUAACGGGGCUAAACCAUGCACCGAAGCUGCGGCAGCGAACGUAUCACUUAAAGCGAUUCAGCGGGUUACGAUUGACGGAGCGAAGCGACGUCAAAGCGUAUACAAAGUCGAGUCGGUUUAAGGAUACGUU
RNAcentral lists this ribosomal RNA (1371 nucleotides) under Salmonella enterica subsp. enterica serovar Havana. RNAcentral describes it as "partial 23S ribosomal RNA". It matches the Rfam family "Bacterial large subunit ribosomal RNA", at positions 1 to 1298 of the family's 2925-position model. The record is from RNAcentral. Lineage: Bacteria; Pseudomonadati; Pseudomonadota; Gammaproteobacteria; Enterobacterales; Enterobacteriaceae.